UCCAUCUCAAACAAAACAAAAAGUGCCAGUGCAAAGUCACCUCCUCCAUGAGUUGCCUUCCUCAAUAUACCUUUCUCCCCAAGUUCACUACUGGGCACACAGCCUGCUCUCGAUAAAAGUUCAAUCCCAUCUUCCUCUGGGUCCCCAUAGUUCCUGUGCUGUCCUUUAUCCCUGCAUAGGCCAGGAAUGUUUCUGUACCCAUCUCUUGCCCUCCCCAGGCUCUGAGCUCAAGGGAAGAGACUGUGUGUGACCCAUUGCUUCUCAGCAUAAGGUCUGGUGUUCAAUACAUUUGCAUUUAUUAAGCAUCUACUAUGUGCCAUUAGACUAGAUGUUUUCCCGUGCUUUACCUCAUUAUAGACUUAAGUCACCUGUGUUGAACAUGGGAGUCUUGACCACUUUGUUCCUGCUCUUCCUGUCAGCCAAAAUGCCUUCCCAUGAGCUUGCCACAUAACCAUGGGUGGCUCACUGGACUUUCAUCUGGGCAAAGAGAAGGGUGUGCUGACACUACUCAUGGCUCCUUCAUCUGGGACCUACCCAAAUCCCGUGGCUUUGCUCACAAUCAUCUGAUCCUGUUGUGCCCAAGAUGCCUGCUCCCAUGCCUGGAUACCUGCUGCAGCUGCUCCAAGCCAGGACCCUGCCAAUCUGUCAUUUUAGAUCUUCAGCUCUGGGUUGGUCUUCCAGGUGCCUCUGCCUCCCAAGGAAACCCAAGGAACUCCGCCAGAAAGGGAAUGCCUAAAAGAGCAGCAGUGGGGACUGUAGGGGUCCUCCUGCCUGCCCCUUUGUUAUCCAGAGUGGGGCCCUGACUUGCCUGAAGUCACACAGGGACUCCGGUAUUCCAAUCCUCGGCCUUAAGAUCGCUGCUAUCCGGUUACUUCUAUCUAAAAGCCCUAGAGAAGUUUCGGGAGACACUCAAAGGGCCCUUGUCUGGUUUCCAGGCUGACCAACUCUAAUGGAGAAAAAGCUCACUCACUAAGCAUACAUCAAAUGCCAGGCGUAUAGAAUCCUUCAGUGGAGGGAUCA
This 1020-nucleotide long non-coding RNA is filed under the name Homo sapiens (human). RNAcentral's name for it is "long non-coding RNA NONHSAT159430.1". The record is from RNAcentral. Lineage: Eukaryota; Metazoa; Chordata; Mammalia; Primates; Hominidae.